AGAAGCACAACAAGAAAGGCCUGAAGAA
This 28-nucleotide non-coding RNA is filed under the name Mus musculus (house mouse). Lineage: Eukaryota; Metazoa; Chordata; Mammalia; Rodentia; Muridae. The record is from RNAcentral.